This is a long non-coding RNA of Sorghum bicolor (sorghum), 391 nucleotides long. RefSeq lists it as uncharacterized. The transcript has 2 exons. NCBI's taxonomy places the organism in Eukaryota, Viridiplantae, Streptophyta, Magnoliopsida, Poales, Poaceae. The record is from RefSeq and is a predicted model, not a curated record.
CACAACUCUUCAUUAUAUUACAUCAUGUUGUUCAAAAAGAAAACUGUGGUUGCUGGACUCACCUUGGCCUUGCUCCUCGUGUCAUGUUGCCCCAUGGCGUGCAAUAAGAACAAGGAAUGCAGGAAAUAUUGCGUCAGUAUUGGCUACACAACUGGGCACUGCAGCAAAAUUGGCACCUUCACAUGCGUAUGCGUCAAGGACAGGCCUCCAUUCGAGAAGCCAGCAUCGCCGGGAUGGGAACGUUCAACUGAUGAGUUGCACGUGUUUCAUGUAGGAGGAUAAACAAUGUGUUUCGAUAUAUGGGUGCGGACUAGUGUGUGACCAAGAUCCCAUGAAGUGGAAUUAUUUAAAUGCUGAAUUGCAUAACUAUCUCAUAUAUAUUAAUUUUUUA